GAUGAACGCUAGCGGAAGGCAUAAUACAUGCAAGUCGAACGGAUGUAGCAAUACAUUAGUGGCGCACGGGUGCGUAACGCGUAUGCAACCUACCUUCAUCAGGGGGAUAACUACUCGAAAGGGUGGCUAACACCGCAUAAUACUACUGAAUGGCAUCAUUUGGUAUUUAAAUCUGAGGAGGAUGAAGAUGGGCAUGCGUCUGAUUAGCUAGUUGGUGUGGUAACGGCGCACCAGGGCGACGAUCAGUAGGGGAACUGGGAGGUUGGUCCCCCACACUGGCACUGAGAUACGGUCCAGACUCCUACGUGAGGCAGCAGUAGGGAAUAUUGGUCAAGGUUGGGAACACUGAACCAGCCAUUCCGCGUGCAGGAAGAAGGGUCUCUGACUUGUAAACUGCUUUAGCAAGGGAAGAAAAAGCUCAUGCGUGAGAAAUUGACGGUACCUUGAGAAUAAGCACCGGCUAACUACGUGCCAGCCGCCGCUGUAA
RNAcentral lists this ribosomal RNA (487 nucleotides) under uncultured bacterium. RNAcentral's name for it is "partial 16S ribosomal RNA". It matches the Rfam family "Bacterial small subunit ribosomal RNA", at positions 28 to 523 of the family's 1533-position model. The record is from RNAcentral.